GCCUGGAUGGCUCAGUUGGUAGAGCACAUGACUUGUAAUCUCAGGGUUAUGAGUUCAAGCCUGAUGUUGGGCA
Molecule: transfer RNA, 73 nt
Filed under: Felis catus (domestic cat)
Lineage: Eukaryota; Metazoa; Chordata; Mammalia; Carnivora; Felidae
Also listed under: 3 other names
Rfam family: tRNA
About the family: Transfer RNA (tRNA) molecules are approximately 80 nucleotides in length. Their secondary structure includes four short double-helical elements and three loops (D, anti-codon, and T loops). Further hydrogen bonds mediate the characteristic L-shaped molecular structure. tRNAs have two regions of fundamental functional importance: the anti-codon, which is responsible for specific mRNA codon recognition, and the 3' end, to which the tRNAs corresponding amino acid is attached (by aminoacyl-tRNA synthetases). tRNAs cope with the degeneracy of the genetic code in two manners: having more than one tRNA (with a specific anti-codon) for a particular amino acid; and 'wobble' base-pairing, i.e. permitting non-standard base-pairing at the 3rd anti-codon position.
Source: Rfam by way of RNAcentral